This is an RNA transcript of Aphis gossypii (cotton aphid), 3871 nucleotides long. It is a transcript of the gene named coiled-coil domain-containing protein 39, with no coding region annotated. Lineage: Eukaryota; Metazoa; Arthropoda; Insecta; Hemiptera; Aphididae. The record is from RefSeq and is a predicted model, not a curated record. The transcript has 18 exons.
UUACCAUAGCGACAGUUUUGUAUACUUCACGUUUGUUUCUCUGAUUUUGUCAACAACUUUUUCAUUCCUUAUGAACAUUUGCAAAAGCUCUUUAGUUUAAUUACCGAUUUAAGUUUCUAACUAAUCUUUGGUCCCGGAUAUCAAGUAAAAAUGGCGUAUGACAACAAGUUAAUAACAGACAUAAUGAAGGACAUUGGCUGUGGUGAUGGCUUUCACGUACCGGUGGCAAAUGAAGAAAAUCAAUUACUCGAAAACGAGAUAAAAGAAUUACUUAAAAAAAAAGCGGAACUAUUGGUUACUGAUGAAUCUUUAGAUAAUGAAUUACAAGAUAAUAAAAAUAUAUUAACCAAUUUAUCAUCUCACGAGGUUCAAAAUCAGAAAUUGAUAAUAGCAAAUCGUCAACAACAUGAGACGGAACAACAUAUGUUGGUGGCAGCUCAAAACGACAACGACUAUUUAACCCGGGAAAAUAAAACACUGAAACAAAAUUUCAUUGAAUUGAUUGAAAAUCAGAAUAAAAUGGAAAGUGAGUUGGUAAAAAACGACGAACAAAUAAAAAAAUUGAGGGAAACUAUCGAGUGGGGCGAAGAAACGCUUUCGGAAUGGAACAACGACUUGACCAAACGAUGUACGGAUGUAAAUAUUCUUGAGAGAUAUCAUUUGGAGGAUAAUAAUAGGUUUAAGGAAUUGGAAUUACGAAGACAAUAUCUUCAACGGGAUGUAAUUGAAAGAGAGUCUAUCGUGGAAAAAGAAGUUGGUGAAUUGCUUCAAGUAGAAAGAGAACUGGAACAAACUGCUAAGUUAACUAGACAAGCACAACAUGAAAGAAAUCAUCGACUUGAACAAUGGGAAAACGCUGCUAAUUUUUUGAACUCUAAUCAAAAAGAUUCGCAAAAUACUAUUGAAGAAAUCAAUAAAAUUAGAUUGGCUGCUCGUGAAAUUUAUGAUAACAUGAAUGAAAAUAAACAAAAGUAUCAUGAAUAUUUAGAGAAAAAUGAAGAAUUAGAAUAUAAAAUGGAAGAAAUAAAUAAAGUCAAUAAUGAGCUGAAGUUAUCGACCCUUAAUAAGCUUUCGGAAACUGAGGAUUUACAAUCAGAGGUGUUAUCAGCUCAAAAAGCUCUUGGUGUUAUGGGCAAUAAGUUAGAAAAUGAGCGUACAAAACGUAAGCAUAUGGAAAACGAAUUAACAAAAUUGAAAACUCAGAUAGAACAAAAAGAAAAAGGCUUAUCAAAAAUAAAAGAUGAUUUGUCUAAAAUCAAAAACCAGUCUAUGACUACAGAGGAGAGGUUAAAUGAACUGAAUUCGAUCUAUAAUCAAAAAAAAAUUGAUGCAGAAAAAUUCUUAUCGGAAAAAAAUAAAAUGCUUAGUGUUGCGUAUAGCGUAAGAAAUGAGAUAAACCAGGAAAAAAUUAACAUUGAUUUGUUAACAAGUCAAUUAGAACGAAUUUGUAACAAACAAAAUGUAUUGAGCAAAGAAGAAUCGAAAUCAAAAAAAUUAAUUUUGGAAAAAAAAGAGCUCGUAUAUAACUUGAGCUUUCAGCUCGAAACUAUACGUAUAGCAAUUGCUGAAGCCAAAGGAACCACGGAUAUUGAAGAAAUGAAAGUUUUGCAAGAAAAGUUACAAAAAUGUAAUGAAGAGUUAAGCCAGGCCAAUGAACACCAGCGUGAGUUGGAAAAGCAGUUGAAAUCGACUGAAAGCGAAACCCGACGUAUAACAAAACAAAUUGAAAAAAAUGCUGUAGAAUUAGAAACGCUCCGAAAUCGAGUAGAGGAGUUGAACGUCACCAACGAAGGAGGUGUUAAACAAAUUCAAGCCUUAAAAGAAACAAAUCAUCGGUAUCAUAUGGAGGAAAUGAUGGUGAAGCUCAAGAUAGAACAAAUGAAGAAGUUAACGGACAAUGAAUGCGAAAAAGUGUAUUCGUUGGCUCAACAGCGUGAGGAAUUAACUAUGGGCAUAAACAAUAGGAAAAGCGAAGUGGCAGAAAUGUAUAAGCGGAUCAAUGAGGAGAAAAAAAUACUGUCAGAUGAGAAGUCAACGAUGAAACGAAAACUGGAUUCGUUGGUCCAGUACAUAGAACAGCGAAAGGCCAAGCAUCAGAUACUUGUAUCUACGAUGGGAGGCCCCUCGUCAUCGGCGACAGUGGACGACGGUGAUGACGAUUGUGACGGUGCAGAUGAAGACGUAUCGUCGUUCAGAAUUAGCGAACACCGGAUCCGGGUGGCCCAAGAGAAGCUUGAGCUGCAGGAGACUGGUGACCGAUUGGACGAGCGUGUGCAGAAGUUGGAGACCGAGAUCCGGGCCAUGGAGAACACGCUGCACGUACUCAAUGCCAACAACAGUUGUUACAAGUCCGGAAUGUCUUCCGUAAACCCCGCCAGCGAAGAGUACAAAGAAAAGAUCGCUUUAGAGGAGACUUACGAGAAACUUAAUAGCAUGUGGCUGCAGAAGAAAAAAACGCUCGAAAAUUUGGAGAACGAAAUUCGAGAUCUAGAAGUUCAGUAUAAGACAAGCAAUGAAGAACUAGAAAGUUUAAUUAAUAUCCGUGACAUUAAAGAAAGUGAACGUGAACGCGUGCUUAAAGAGUCCAAUGAACAAUUAAUGAAACUAAACCGAGCAAAUAACCGAAUUGAGUUUGAUAUGAAAACAAUUGACAAGUGUUGUAAUCCCGAAAAACGGAGUGCACUUGAAUUAAUAAAACGGGAUAUCGAGGUGAGAAUGAUGAAAAAAGUGAACAAGUGCGUUUUAGAACAAUUAUCGGAAAUGUCUGUUCGACAUAUCGGAGUUGAACCGACUGUCAAGCAAUACCUAUUAGAAAAGAAUUUGGAGCUACCAGCUGUUUCCGGUCUAUUUUUGAAUCAAAUCAAAUCAAGUUGUGGUUCUAGUUCAACGUCAUUGAUUAGCAGUAAUUCCAGUAUUAAAAGCUAUUUGGAUGAAGACAAGCAGUGUUCGUAUUCUGUUGUGAACGUAGAACCUGCGGCUUUAAGCGGCUCCAUUAAAUCCAUUAAAUCCAUUAAAUCCAUUAAAUCCGGUACUUCAAUUGUGACGAAACACAGCAAAUGAUAAAAUUUUCUAGUUUUACGCAUAAAUAUAUUUUAAUUUUGGGUAUAUGUGAUACAACCAAAAAUUUAAGGUGGUUGGAAGCAGAAUACCAAUUAUUUUAUGAUUUAGAUAAAUGAUUCAAAACUACAUCUAUUUAGAAUAAUCAAAUUAUUCGAAUUUCAGUUCUGUAAAAACAUUGAGUUUACCGUAUUUUUUCUAAAGAAAAUAGAUUUUUGCUAUUUUAAUUUAAAUUGUAUUAAAAUCCUAUUAUUAUUUUUAAAAUAGUCUGGAAGAAAGGACGAUAAGUCAGUCAAACUAUUUGUAUGGAACUAAAAUUAAUUUAUUCUUAGUAUGUGAAGUUUUGACAGGUUUUAUUAAUUCUUAAUUAGUAAAAUUCAUUUAAAUCGUAGGAACAAAAUAUAUAUAAUAUAUUUUUUAAUUCAAUGAUAAUAUGAAUAUAUUUUAUAUACGUGUUCCAAAUAUGAGGGUGGUGCUUGGUGCACUAAAAUCUAAAUAAGUGUUUACUAAUUACUUCUUAAAAAAGGCCUUUAAUCAUCUCAAGUAUUAUAAAUAUAUUAUAAUCUAAAUCCAUAAAAAACAAGACGUAAGUUAAUAGAAACGUCAAAAAGUGGUGCUCAAUUUAUCAUGUAGAACCCACAUUGUAGGUUGAUACGUUAUAAUGGUAUUAAUUUUUUUUUUAAUAUUUAUACUUCACUACUAUGUUUUUCUUAUUUAAUGUAUUCUUUUUCAUUGACUCACACCGUAUUACCACUAAUUUACUUGUUGACUACAGAUUGUAAAUUUUAAUUUAAAUAAAUGAUUUAAAAAUUUU